UUCUUUAAGACUAAUUUUUUUCGUUGUAACAUUGUACAUGUUUUAACAUUUAAGAUCCCGACUUCCUUCCAGGAUUUUCAUUUUGAAUUUCCCGGCUGGCAGGAAUAUGGAAGGGAAAGGUGAAGGAGGUGGGGAAAUAUCUAAUGAUCCCGUGGACAUGGUAAGUUCAUAUUCACAACAAAAAGUUCUACAUCGAUUAGAUAUUGAUAUGUGUUUGGAACAUAAAUUUAUGUGAAUGACGAAUGGAUCAUUAACAUUUAAAUCAAACAGGUAAAAUAGGACUAACUUAUCUCUGGUAUGAAAACUGUAGUUGUUUGUUAUACUUAUAGUAUAAUAUGAAAUAAAAUUAAGGAUAUGUAUCAACAAAAAAAUCAUUAUUAGGAUGAAUAAUUCGUCACGAUGAGUAUUAUAUCAACAUUUAAUUGAUAACUUUUGCUUACAAACUUUAUCGUAUUCAGCGUAUUGACUGUGUUUAUAAAAAAAAGCGUUUAACACAAAAUAAGACGUUUGUCACAUUAUCUUAAUAUAGGCCAUGUUCUAAGGGUAAACAGAUUGUACACGUUUAAUUUAGAAACAAAUUGAAGACAAGUAUCAUUUUUUAGUACAAUAUCCAUUUUACUCUUUCGUUCGUCAGAAAUAUUAAGAAUCAUUAUUAUGUAAUGGCAAGUGUUUUCGAAUAAGUAAAACUUAAGUGUAAACAAUGUAAAAGAAUAAAAACUAAUAAAUUUACUCAUUUAACUUUCAGAAAAAGAACAGAAAAAAAUUAAUAGCUGAAUAUUAUUUUGUUUAAUCAUUGAUAUGCGUUGUUCAGAACAGUACAGUAUAUACUAAUGUAUUUACAUGUAUAACAUACUUAUGUGUUAGAAUAUACAGUCAGUAAGGUCAAUUUGCAGUCAUUUAAUGCGUAUCAAAAUAUUACGGCAAGAUUUGUGAAAAAGAUUUGAAAAAACUCAUUUUUUAUUAUUAUAUAAUUGUGUACAUAGUUUAUGUACUAUGCAGACUUGAUUUUAUAAUUGAUGGUAUUAAUAAAUAAAAAGAAAGGUAUCAAAAGCAAUUAUGAAGGUUCUAACACAUAAACUCUCUGAAUGUUUCAUAUCACAGGUACAUGUAUGUAUUACUUAGUCUAUGUUUACAUUACACGAUAUCAGAAACAAUAAGGCAUUACCUUUGAACACAAAAAAUGAAUAAAUAAAUAUAA
Molecule: long non-coding RNA, 1198 nt
Organism: Pecten maximus
Lineage: Eukaryota; Metazoa; Mollusca; Bivalvia; Pectinida; Pectinidae
Exons: 2
Source: RefSeq, a predicted model, not a curated record